RNAcentral lists this unclassified non-coding RNA (3867 nucleotides) under Hevea brasiliensis (rubber tree). Lineage: Eukaryota; Viridiplantae; Streptophyta; Magnoliopsida; Malpighiales; Euphorbiaceae. The record is from RNAcentral.
UUCAGACCACCCAAGAGAUUGACUAAUUUAUUACGGAUUGGUGAGAGGUGUAAUCAACUUAAGAAAAUUCUCCUUUUUAUUUAGUCUCAAAAGUAAGAAAUCAAAAAUGGGAAAAUUUAUAAUAACUGCAAAGAAUUAUUAUUUACUUUUCUGUAACUCAAUAGUUUUUUUAAUUAUAAUUUUAUAUUGCAUAUGAUGUUACACAGGCAAGCCACUCUGGAAAUAAUACUCCAAGGAGUGUCUGAUAGAGAUUUGCUUCUUUUUUAUCUUAUUCAACUCUUGCAUCUUGUUUAGUAUUGGAGACAAACUAGCAGGAAUCUAGUGCUUUUGUUUCCCACAACAGUCAUUGCCUGAGCUAAACAAGGAAAGGAAGAAAAAGGGAACGUGGGGAAGGGAAAGUAAAUUACUUGGGUCAGUCUUUCGCUGAAAACCAGGGAAUACUUUUGAUUGUUUUCUUCUAUUCUGUUACAGCAUGUCCAUCUUUUUUUAACUGAUUUUGUAGUCUUUAUAUACGUGUAUAAAUUACACAUGCUUUUGGCAUUCUCUGGCCAAAUUUUUGAUGGAUAACUUCCAAAUCAUAAAUGCAGUACAGGUUUUCCUGCAGUUGGGUGAAGUGGUGGUUCUUGAGGUCUCAAUUGAAACACAACACUGCUACUGCUGUCUUAAAGGCUAUAAUUUCCAUUUUUUUUCCCUUGAAGUUUGUGUGGCCUCUGAUUUUGAGUUGAAGAAGCUGUUGUGCCUUUGUUUCUGACCUUCUGAAAAGAAGGGAGUUCCUCAGUAAUGGAUGAAAAGGGAGUUUCUGGUUCAUAUUUAAUUGUCUCAGAAGACAAGGGUAAUAGCUUUUAUCCAAUGUAUUUUGGAGUUUCUUGUGCUUUUUUUGCUCUCAAAGUUUUAGCAAGACCUGGCAAGGAAGAAGAAAGAUGGUUUGAAUUAUGUGAUAAAAUGCUUCAAGGAAGUGCCCAACUCUUGGGAUUGCUUGUUUGGAGAAUCCAGAGAGAAAGAGCAAAUAGUGAACAGUAUAAGCUUCUCCAUGAGCUUGAGACUGCAGAGAAAGAGAUCAAAGAACUUAAGCAAAUGAGGCGUGAGGAUGCAAAAGCAAAUGAGAAAGUUGUUGGCAUCUUUGCAUCACAAGAGCAGAGAUGGUUGAUUGAAAGGAAGAAGCUCAGUCAGCAUGCUGGAGCUCUUAUGAACGAAUUAAGGGUUCUUCAAAAAAGGAAAGAAGAAGCUAUUUCUGAAAUAAAUGAUAAACUGAAGGAAAUGGAGCUUUUGGUGCAGGCUAAGGAUAAGGCAUUAGAGGAAGAGGAACAUAAGAGGAAGGAAUUAGAAGAAAAGUUGACAAAGGCUGAAAAUGUUUUAGAAGAGUUGAGAGAAACUGCAAAGCGAGAAGCUCAAGAAUACUCUACUGAUCUUUGGAAGCAUAAGACUGCUUUUCUGGAGCUGGUGUCUAAUCAGAGACAGCUCGAAGCAGAGCUGGGUAGAGCACUUAGGCAACUUGAAGCUAAAAGGCAAGAGAUUGAUUUGGUCUUGGAGCAGAAAGAGGAGUCAGACCUCUUGACCCAAAAACUUUCUAUGGAAGUUGUAAAGAUGCGCAAAGAUUUAGAGCAGAAAGAUAAGAUCUUGUCUGCAAUGCUCAGGAAAUCCAAAGUGGAUACAGCUGAGAAGCAAAUGCUCCUAAAGGAGGUUAAACUAUCAAAGGCUAAGAGGAAGCAAGCUGAACUAGAAACAGAAAGGUGGAGAGGAAUGUCUGAGUCUAAACAUGAGCGACACUCAUUGAGAAGUAUGUUUGCUCGCCAAGCUAAUUCAAGAUCAGAUGAUCCUUCGCUUGCAAGAGGGACCUCACAAAUUGGGAAAAGGAGAUCACAGCCUGCUGACUAUGUUCUUGAGUACGAGAAACCUGAGUUCAGAAAGGAUGCAGUAGUUUUUACUCCACUUUCUGACAGCUACUCACCAGAAAUAAAUGAUGAACUAGGUAUGGAAAAAAAAUUAUCCACAUUUCUCUAUACAUAUAAAUGAACAUAUCCUGCUUUUUUAGUAUUGGAUAUGGCAAAUUUUGAUAUCAAUAAUUGAUAUAAUAUUCCUUCAUGAAAUCCAAUCCUCAUGCUUAAGAUUUGAUCUUGUCUUUGCUGGAUCUCCUUUUUUCUAUGUUUUCAUUCCUUUACUGUUCUUUCUUUUGAAGCAAUUACAACUGACAUCAAGCGAUUGGAAGGUUGGGUUCACUCAGAAGCGGAAAAGUACACAACCACAAUUGAGAAGAGGCAUCAUCUAGAAAUAGAUGCUUUUGUGGAACAGAUGAGACUCAAAGAUGAGAAAUUAGAAGCUUUUCAUUGGAGAAUGUUAAGCAUGGAAAUAGAAUCAAAGCGGCUGCAGUCUCAUGUGGAAGGCUUGAGCCAGGAUUUGUCACAGCUCAGACAUGAGAACAUGAAAUUGGAAGCAUUGUUAUUGGAAAGGCAAGAAGAAUUAAAAGCCUUGAAUGAGCAAUUCGUAGUGCAAGUAAAACCUCAGAUUACCUGGAAGACAGACUUUGAUUCAUCUCUACCUGAUCCAACAUCAGCCCUUGAUGCCUCCAAUGUUAAGAUUGUAAAGAAAGAACCUGCUGAGAGGGAUCAAGAGACAAAAGCAGAUUUAAUGGUAAUGUCUCAAGAGAAAGAUGCAGAGAAAGAAGGAGAAGCAGCCCCUACUAACUUGUCCAAAAAUGUUAUUUUCAUUGUUCAAUCUCCUGAAAAGGAGUUUGAAGAAGAGAAGGAUGUAUCUAAUGAGGCUCCAGUGAAGGACAAGAGUGUGAGUCCAGUGGAGGUUGACACUGUUCAACAGUCACCUCUGCCUAGCCAGCCAUUGAUAAAGAUAAAUAAUUCACCAUGGAGGAUGGAUCUUCAAGCCCUUGGAGUUUCUUACAAAAUCAAGAGGCUGAAGCAGCAACUCAUAAUGCUUGAGAGACUGACAGGAAAGCUAGAAAUUGGGGAACAUACAGAAAACAAUGAUAGCAUGCAGUAUGAGAUAAAGGGCUUCCAAUUACUGAUUUCUUUGCUUAAUAAACAAAUCAGCAGAUACCAAUCCCUACAAGGCAAGACUGAUGAACUUUGCAAGAGAAUGGUAAGCUAUAUUCUAUUUUGUUGCAUUUCAAGAAUUACUAUGUCUUGGCUAAUUUUGUUUCCUAUUCAGUUUUCCUUGGCAUGUCUAGAUUUGCAUCCUAUACAAUAUUUUACUCUCUUUUGACGAACUUAUGGAAUUGUAAAACGUUUUGAAGCUUAAAUUUAAUAUUUCUGUCUCCCUAGUCCAUUUUUUGACUAGUGCUAGUUUGCUGAUUUGCCCAUUUUAUUCACAGCAUGAUAAUGAUGCAGACAAAAGUGAACAUUCCGGUUCAUUAAGAACAAAAGCGGGUACUAAAACAUUAGAGCAUUUUCUUGAAGAAACAUUUCAGCUUCAGAGAUAUAUUGUUGCAACAGGACAGAAAUUGAUGGAAGUUCAGUCCCAGAUUGCUUCUGGAUUUGCUGGGUCCCCUGAAGAUGUUGACAAGUCUGUCACCUUUGACAUGAAGCGCUUUACUGAUAACAUAAGAACUCUUUUUCAAGAAGUUCAGAGAGGACUCGAAGUUCGAAUUGCUCGAAUUAUCGGGGAUCUCGAGGGAACACUGGCUUGUGAGGGUAUGAUACGAAUGAGGAGAUAGAAAUAUAGGAAGAACAACACGAAGACAAGGAUCAACAAGGGCGUCACGGUGUGAUUUACAAGUGUUUAUGCUUAUAUAUGCACAAAAUUUGUACAGGAAAAUACGCACAAGUUCUAUUGCAAUAGCUCAUUGCCAAGAAAUUUUCUCUUGUUUGCAAGUUUCAUGAAAUUGAUCCAUUAAUAAAUCCAAACAUUGUUUCUGAG